AUUACUGGGCGUAAAGCGCACGCAGGCGGUCUGUCAAGUCGGAUGUGAAAUCCCCGGGCUCAACCUGGGAACUGCAUUCGAAACUGGCAGGCUUGAGUCUUGUAGAGGGGGGUAGAAUUCCAGGUGUAGCGGUGAAAUGCGUAGAGAUCUGGAGGAAUACCGGUGGCGAAGGCGGCCCCCUGGACAAAGACUGACGCUCAGGUGCGAAAGCGUGGGGAGCAAACAGGAUUAGAUACCCUGGUAGUCCACGCCGUAAACGAUGUCUACUUGGAGGUUGUGCCCUUGAGGCGUGGCUUCCGGAGCUAACGCGUUAAGUAGACCGCCUGGGGAGUACGGCCGCAAGGUUAAAACUCAAAUGAAUUGACGGGGGCCCGCACAAGCGGUGGAGCAUGUGGUUUAAUUCGAUGCAACGCGAAGAACCUUACCUGGUCUUGACAUCCACAGAAGAAUCCAGAGAUGGAUUUGUGCCU
This 470-nucleotide ribosomal RNA is filed under the name Salmonella enterica subsp. enterica serovar Dublin. RNAcentral's name for it is "bacterial SSU rRNA". It matches the Rfam family "Bacterial small subunit ribosomal RNA", at positions 550 to 1019 of the family's 1533-position model. Lineage: Bacteria; Pseudomonadati; Pseudomonadota; Gammaproteobacteria; Enterobacterales; Enterobacteriaceae. The record is from RNAcentral.